UCGAGAAUCUUCCGCAAUGGACGCAAGUCUGACGGAGCGACGCCGCGUGCGGGAUGAAGGCCUUCGGGUUGUAAACCGCUGUCAGAGAGGCGGAAAUGCUAUGGGGUUCUCUCCAUAGUUUGACCUAAUCUCAGAGGAAGUCCGGGCUAAGUUCGUGCCAGCAGCCGCGGUAACACGAACCGGACGAACGUUAUUCGGAAUCACUGGGCUUAAAGAGUGCGUAGGCGGCUUGGCAAGUUGGGUGUGAAAUCCCUCGGCUCAACCGAGGAAUUGCGCUCAAAACUGCCAGGCUUGAGGGAGACAGAGGUGAGCGGAACUGAUGGUGGAGCGGUGAAAUGCGUUGAUAUCAUCAGGAACACCGGUGGCGAAGGCGGCUCACUGGGUCUCUUCUGACGCUGAGGCACGAAAGCUAGGGGAGCGAACGGGAUUAGAUACCCCCGUAGUCC
RNAcentral lists this ribosomal RNA (446 nucleotides) under uncultured prokaryote. RNAcentral's name for it is "bacterial SSU rRNA". It matches the Rfam family "Bacterial small subunit ribosomal RNA", at positions 355 to 796 of the family's 1533-position model. The record is from RNAcentral.